RNAcentral lists this long non-coding RNA (584 nucleotides) under Homo sapiens (human). Its description in RNAcentral is "novel transcript". The record is from RNAcentral. Lineage: Eukaryota; Metazoa; Chordata; Mammalia; Primates; Hominidae.
CAGCCAGUGCUGCAGGUCAGGGGCCGCCAUCCCCCAGAGCUGCUGUGAGACAUCGACCAGCACAUCAGUGGGCUGCUUUCCGCUGGUUUUAUUUGCAUGUAUUUUGGUCUGUUUCCCUACCUAGAAAAUAAACUCCCUGUGGCAGAAGUUUUAUCUCUCUGCUCCCUUCUUGGUUCCCAGCUCUUGGAACAGAACCAGACUUCUGGCCGGGGCUCAGUCAGUGCUUGCAAGAUGUUUGUUGGCACCAGGCUGUGCCAGGAGAGCAUCAUUAUAAACUGCUGAUCUACUGUUUCUUUGUCAAACGGGAGGAGAUAACAUGAGGGUCAUGAGAAAUGUUUGCAGACGGAGUGAAUGCCUUGAAAGUGCUGCGACCAGGUGCUGACACCCGGAGGUCUGGCUGCUCAAAGUGUUAGCUGACACGGAAGACACACGGACUUUCCCUCCAUUCCCCAAAACUCCCCUUCCCUGACUCGUCAGCUGCAUAAAAACCCUCUCCUUAUCUCUUUGUCAAGGGGAUUUGAGAAAUCUUGCUGUCUUGUCUUCUUGCUUUGGCCAAAUGGAAUAAACCUUUCUCUGUCUCCAGA